This 547-nucleotide ribosomal RNA is filed under the name uncultured bacterium. RNAcentral describes it as "bacterial SSU rRNA". It matches the Rfam family "Bacterial small subunit ribosomal RNA", at positions 355 to 896 of the family's 1533-position model. The record is from RNAcentral.
UGGGGAAUAUUGCGCAAUGGGGGGAACCCUGACGCAGCCAUGCCGCGUGAAUGAAGAAGGCCUUAGGGUUGUAAAGUUCUUUCGGUAUUGAGGAAGGUUGAUGUGUUAAUAGCACAUCAAAUUGACGUUAAAUACAGAAGAAGCACCGGCUAACUCCGUGCCAGCAGCCGCGGUAAUACGGAGGGUGCGAGCGUUAAUCGGAAUAACUGGGCGUAAAGGGCACGCAGGCGGUUAUUUAAGUGAGGUGUGAAAGCCCCGGGCUUAACCUGGGAAUUGCGUUUCAGACUGGGUAACUAGAGUACUUUAGGGAGGGGUAGAAUUCCACGUGUAGCGGUGAAAUGCGUAGAGAUGUGGAGGAAUACCGAAGGCGAAGGCAGCCCCUUGGGAAUGUACUGACGCUCAUGUGCGAAAGCGUGGGGAGCAAACAGGAUUAGAUACCCUGGUAGUCCACGCUGUAAACGCUGUCGAUUUGGGGGUUGGGGUUUAACUCUGGCGCCCGUAGCUAACGUGAUAAAUCGACCGCCUGGGGAGUACGGCCGCAAGGUUA